UUGUAAGCAGUAAAAAAACUGGCAGAAGAAACAAGCUAUUUAUAACAGAAAAUAACAAAACCACACCCGCCAAACUAAUCUAGAUCAAUGAAAAUAAUAAUGAACAAUUAGAUCCUGUUCUUCUCUAUCAAUACUUUUAAUUUUAGUCACAAAUAAACAAGACAAGCAGACGGUGCUUCGGAGAUGAACAAAAACCCGUAGAAUGAUGAAACUAAAGCGUCUGUUUGCAAAUUAAUGUAAAUUUAAUCGAAAUAGAAUAAAAAACUAUACACAAAAUAACAGAAAAGUUGUAAAAAUCUUCUAAAUACUUAUCGUUGUUGAACAUUUUGUAAUAGCCAUAUAACCACAAAAGAACGUAAUGUUUUUGUUGAUGGGCUUUUGGUCUUCUAGUAAAAUUUUUUCUUAGGGUGUCUUCUGACGUUACAAACCGUAAAUCUAGCGUUGAGUCAACGGACAACUAUUGCCACUAUUCAGGCAAUUCAAAACAAUUCUUAAAAACUUGCACAGUAAAUUAUUUAAAAGAGAUUUGUGCAGCUGAAAUGCAAAUUGAACGAAAAAAUAGGAAAAAGCAGAGAAACUACCCCCACAAAAUGCUUUCAAUCGGUAAAGAUAUUGUUCAUCUUAUAUUGUUGAUAUUCACAGUUUAUGGUUUAAACCAAUCCUUACUCAGAUUCACACUGCAGGAGACUUGCUCGGCUCUGAUUGUAUGUAUUAACUGAAGAAUGCGCAACGAAGCACAUUUUAACAAAGGCAACUAACGGCAGCGCCUGAUAGUAGUUGUGUAGUUCUACAUUGAGCUUAAAAGACUCAUUUUCUUCCUGAACACAAGAAAGAGUUGCCAUGAAGUUAUUUCUAAGAAAUGUGGCGAUAUUGUGAUGAUAAUGGUUGAUCUAAUGUUGUUGAAUACAAAGGGUGAUCAAAAGAAAAAGCCUUCGCUUCCAGACAAUUCCAAGAGAAAAUACCCGUGCUUCCUGACAUAUCGGUUGGUCUAGUUGUUGGCUGCAAAGGCCGAUCAAAAGAAAACGCCUUCGCUUCCAGACAAUUCCACGGAAAACAUUCUUUCUGUUGAUCCUGACCUAUCGGUAAGUAUAAGUAAAACAAUUCAAAGAAACUUAGGUAAAAUACGUGUAAGAAGUAGGCAACUCUCUAUUGUUCUGCGGUAAUUGCAACUUCUUAGGGCUCCCAUUGAUAACAGUGCACAUGCAACUG
Long non-coding RNA from Exaiptasia diaphana, 1209 nucleotides. RefSeq lists it as uncharacterized. The transcript has 3 exons. The record is from RefSeq and is a predicted model, not a curated record. NCBI's taxonomy places the organism in Eukaryota, Metazoa, Cnidaria, Anthozoa, Actiniaria, Aiptasiidae.